Molecule: ribosomal RNA, 795 nt
Filed under: uncultured bacterium
Lineage: Bacteria
Description: bacterial SSU rRNA
Rfam family: Bacterial small subunit ribosomal RNA
Source: RNAcentral
AGAGUUUGAUCAUGGCUCAGAUUGAACGCUGGCGGCAUGCUUUACACAUGCAAGUCGAGCGGCAGCGCGGGGGCAACCCUGGCGGCGAGCGGCGAACGGGUGAGUAAUGCAUCGGAACGUGUCCCGUAAUGGGGGAUAACGCCGCGAAAGCGGCGCUAAUACCGCAUACGCUCUACGGAGGAAAGUGGGGGAUCCGCAAGGACCUCACGUUAGGGGAGCGGCCGAUGUCCGAUUAGCUAGUUGGUGGGGUAACGGCCCACCAAGGCGACGAUCGGUAGCUGGUCUGAGAGGAUGAUCAGCCACACUGGGACUGAGACACGGCCCAGACUCCUACGGGAGGCAGCAGUGGGGAAUUUUGGACAAUGGGGGCAACCCUGAUCCAGCCAUGCCGCGUGCGGGAAGAAGGCCUUCGGGUUGUAAACCGCUUUUAGCCGGGAAGAAAAGGCGCGAGUUAAUACCUUGCGUUUUUGACGGUACCGGCGGAAUAAGCACCGGCUAACUACGUGCCAGCAGCCGCGGUAAUACGUAGGGUGCGAGCGUUAAUCGGAAUUACUGGGCGUAAAGCGUGCGCAGGCGGUUCGUUGUGUCGGUGGUGAAAGCCCCGGGCUUAACCUGGGAAUGGCCAUGGAAACUGGCGAACUGGAGUGUGGCAGAGGGGGGUGGAAUUCCGCGUGUAGCAGUGAAAUGCGUAGAGAUGCGGAGGAACACCGAUGGCGAAGGCAGCCCCCUGGGCUAGCACUGACGCUCAGGCACGAAAGCGUGGGGAGCAAACAGGAUUAGAUACCCUAGUAGUCC